CAGGCCUAACACAUGCAAGUCGAGGGGCAUCAUGAAGGAAGCUUGCUUCCUUUGAUGGCGACCGGCGCACGGGUGAGUAACGCGUAUCCAACCUUCCCCUCAGUAGGGCAUAGCCCGUAGAAAUGCGGAUUAAUACCCUAUGUGGUCCGAUGAGGACAUCUGAGCUGGACGAAAGGUUUACCGCUGAGGGAUGGGGAUGCGUCUGAUUAGGUAGUCGGCGGGGUAACGGCCCACCGAGCCAUCGAUCAGUAGGGGUUCUGAGAGGAAGGUCCCCCACACUGGUACUGAGACACGGACCAGACUCCUACGGGAGGCAGCAGUGAGGAAUAUUGGUCAAUGGGCGAGAGCCUGAACCAGCCAAGUAGCGUGCAGGAUGACGGCCCUACGGGUUGUAAACUGCUUUUAUGCGGGGAUAAAGUGAGGGACUUGUCCCUUUUUGCAGGUACCGCAUGAAUAAGGACCGGCUAAUUCCGUGCCAGCAGCCGCGGUAAUACGGAAGGUCCUGGCGUUAUCCGGAUUUAUUGGGUUUAAAGGGAGCGCAGGCCGGUGUGUAAGCGUGACGUCAAAUACAGCCGCUCAACGGUUGUCCGCGUCGCGAACUGCAUGCCUUGAGUACGCUGCAAGUGGGCGGAAUUCGUGGUGUAGCGGUGAAAUGCUUAGAUAUCACGAGGAACUCCGAUUGCGAAGGCAGCGUGCCGUAGCGUUACUGACGCUGAAGCUCGAAGGUGCGGGUAUCGAACAGGAUUAGAUACCCUGGUAGUCCGCACGGUAAACGAUGGAUGCCCGCUGUCCGGCCUUUGUGCCGGGUGGCCAAGCGAAAGCGUUAAGCAUCCCACCUGGGGAGUACGCCGGCAACGGUGAAACUCAAAGGAAUUGACGGGGGCCCGCACAAGCGGAGGAACAUGUGGUUUAAUUCGAUGAUACGCGAGGAACCUUACCCGGGCUUGAACUGCCGGUGCCGGACCUGGAGACAGGCCCAUCCCUUCGGGGCGCUGGUGGAGGUGCUGCAUGGUUGUCGUCAGCUCGUGCCGUGAGGUGUCGGCUUAAGUGCCAUAACGAGCGCAACCCCUCUCCGUAGUUGCCAUCGGGUUAAGCCGGGCACUCUGCGGACACUGCCACCGCAAGGUGUGAGGAAGGUGGGGACGACGUCAAAUCAGCACGGCCCUUACGUCCGGGGCUACACACGUGUUACAAUGGGCCGUACAGAGAGCCGGCGCCCCGCAAGGUGCGUCCAAUCCCCAAAACGGUCCUCAGUUCGGACUGGGGUCUGCAACCCGACCCCACGAAGCUGGAUUCGCUAGUAAUCGCGCAUCAGCCAUGGCGCGGUGAAUACGUUCCCGG
This 1341-nucleotide ribosomal RNA is filed under the name uncultured rumen bacterium. Its description in RNAcentral is "bacterial SSU rRNA". It matches the Rfam family "Bacterial small subunit ribosomal RNA", at positions 43 to 1377 of the family's 1533-position model. The record is from RNAcentral.